This 1470-nucleotide ribosomal RNA is filed under the name uncultured Bordetella sp. RNAcentral's name for it is "partial 16S-23S ribosomal RNA intergenic spacer". It matches the Rfam family "Bacterial small subunit ribosomal RNA". Lineage: Bacteria; Pseudomonadati; Pseudomonadota; Betaproteobacteria; Burkholderiales; Alcaligenaceae. The record is from RNAcentral.
AGUUUGAUCCGGCUCAGAUUGAACGCUGGCGGGAUGCUUUACACAUGCAAGUCGAACGGCAGCACGGACUUCGGUCUGGUGGCGAGUGGCGAACGGGUGAGUAAUGUAUCGGAACGUGCCUAGUAGCGGGGGAUAAUCACGCGAGCGCAGCUAAUACCGCGCAUACGCUCUUCGGAGGAAAGCGGGGACCGGGCCUGCACUAUUAGAGCGGCCGAUAUCGGAUUAGCUAGUUGGUGGGGUAACGGCUCACCAACAUGACGAUCCCGUGAAGUCGUCGAGGAGGACCACUCAGCCACACUGACUGAGACACGGUCCAUUCCUACGGGAGGCAGCAGCGGGGAAUUUUUGACAAUGGGGAAACCCCUGAUCCAGCCAUCCCGCGUGCGAUGAAGGCCUCGGGUUGUAAAGCACUUUUGGCAGGAAAAAGAAACGGCACGGGAUAACACCUCGUGCAACUGACGGUACCUUGCAGAAUAAGCACCGCUAACUACGUGCCAGCCGCAGAAGGCGAAAAAAUAAGCGUUAAUCGUAAUUACUGGGCGUAAAAGCGUGUGCGCAGGCGGUUCGGAAAGAAAGAUGUGAAACCCAGAGCUUAACUUUGAACCUGCAUUUUUAACUACCGAGCUAGAGUGUGUCAGAGGGGAGGUGGAAUUCCGCGUAGCAGUGAAAUGCGUAGAUAUGCGGAGGAACACCGGAUGGCGAAGGCAGCCUCCUGGGAUAACACUGACGCCUGCGCAACAAAGCGUGGGGAGCAAACAGGAUUAGGUACUCCCGUAGUCCACGCCCUAAACGAUGUCAACUAGCUGUUGGGGCCUUCGGGCCUUUGGUAGCGCAGCUAACGCGUGAAGUUGACCGGCCUGGGGAGUACGGUCGCAAGAUUAAAAUCAAAGAAUUGAUGUAAGACCCGCACGCGGUGGAUGAUGUGAUUAAUUCGAUGCAACGCGAAAACCUUACCUACCCUUGACAUGUCUGGAAUCCCGAAGAGAUUUGGGAGUGCUCGCAAGAGGAACCGGAACAUGGGUGUUGCAUGGCUGUCGUCAGCUCGUGUCGUGAGAUGUUGGGUUAAGUCCCGCAACGAGCGGCAACCUCUUGUCAUUAGUUGCUACGAAAGCGGCACCUAAUGAGACUGGUGACAAACCGAGGAAGGUGGGGAUGACGUCAAGUCCUCAUGGCCUCUUAUGGGUAGGGCUUCAUACACGUCACAGCAAUGGUCGGGACAGAGGGUCGCCAAACGAGGGAGCUAACCCCAGAAACCCGAUCGUAGUCCGGAUCGCAGUCUGGUAACUCGACUGCGUGAAGUCGGAAUUCCGGCAAUUUAUUCAGCGAACGCGGUGAAUACGUUCCCGGGUCUUGUACACACCGCCCGUCACACCAUGCGGAGUGGGUUUUACCAGAAGUAGUUAGCCUAACCGUAAGGAGGGCGAUUACCACGGUAGGAUUCAUGACUGGGGUGAAGUCGUAACAAGGUAA